This 492-nucleotide ribosomal RNA is filed under the name uncultured bacterium. Its description in RNAcentral is "partial 16S ribosomal RNA". It matches the Rfam family "Bacterial small subunit ribosomal RNA", at positions 29 to 507 of the family's 1533-position model. The record is from RNAcentral.
AGUGAACGCUGGCGGUAGGCCUAACACAUGCAAGUCGAACGGCAGCACAGUAAGAGCUUGCUCUUACGGGUGGCGAGUGGCGGACGGGUGAGGAAUACAUCGGAAUCUACUUUUUCGUGGGGGAUAACGUAGGGAAACUUACGCUAAUACAGCAUACGACCUACGGGUGAAAGCAGGGGAUCUUCGGACCUUUCGCGAUUGAAUGAGCCGAUGUCGGAUUAGCUAGUUGGCGGGGUAACGGCCCACCAAGGCGACGAUCCGUAGCUGGUCUGAGAGGAUGAUCGGCCACACUGGAACUGAGACACGGUCCAGACUCCUACGGGAGGCAGCAGUAGGGAAUAUUGGGCAAUGGGCGAAAGCCUGAUCCAGCCAUACCGCGUGGGUGAAGAAGGCCUUCGGGUUGUAAAGCCCUGUUGUUGGGAAAGAAAAGCAGCAGGUUAAUACCCCGCUGUUCUGACGGUACCCAAAGAAUAAGCACCGGCUAACUUCGUG